AGCGAGCGCUGGCGGCAGGCCUAACACAUGCAAGUCGAACGAACUCUUCGGAGUUAGUGGCGGACGGGUGAGUAACACGUGGGAACGUGCCUUUAGGUUCGGAAUAACUCAGGGAGACUUGUGCUAAUACCGAAUGUGCCCUUCGGGGGAAAGAUUUAUCGCCUUUAGAGCGGCCCGCGUCUGAUUAGCUAGUUGGUGAGGUAAAGGCUCACCAAGGCGACGAUCAGUAGCUGGUCUGAGAGGAUGAUCAGCCACAUUGGGACUGAGACACGGCCCAAACUCCUACGGGAGGCAGCAGUGGGGAAUCUUGCGCAAUGGGCGAAAGCCUGACGCAGCCAUGCCGCGUGAAUGAUGAAGGUCUUGGGAUUGUAAAAUUCUUUCACCGGGGACGAUAAUGACGGUACCCGGAGAAGAAGCCCCGGCUAACUUCGUGCCAGCCGCCGCAGUAA
Molecule: ribosomal RNA, 449 nt
Filed under: uncultured bacterium
Lineage: Bacteria
Description: partial 16S ribosomal RNA
Rfam family: Bacterial small subunit ribosomal RNA
Source: RNAcentral